UGUGGGAGCGGGCUUGCCCGCGAUAGCGAUGUGUCAGUCGGCUUAUCUUUAACUGAUCCACCGCAAUCGCGGGCAAGCCCGCUCCCACC
This 89-nucleotide unclassified non-coding RNA is filed under the name Pseudomonas gessardii. Lineage: Bacteria; Pseudomonadati; Pseudomonadota; Gammaproteobacteria; Pseudomonadales; Pseudomonadaceae. The record is from RNAcentral.